This 465-nucleotide ribosomal RNA is filed under the name Vreelandella stevensii. RNAcentral's name for it is "partial 16S ribosomal RNA". It matches the Rfam family "Bacterial small subunit ribosomal RNA", at positions 338 to 795 of the family's 1533-position model. The record is from RNAcentral. Lineage: Bacteria; Pseudomonadati; Pseudomonadota; Gammaproteobacteria; Oceanospirillales; Halomonadaceae.
CCUACGGGAGGCUGCAGUGGGGAAUAUUGGACAAUGGGCGAAAGCCUGAUCCAGCCAUGCCGCGUGUGUGAAGAAGGCCUUCGGGUUGUAAAGCACUUUCAGUGGGGAAGAAAGCCUUGGGGCUAAUACCCUCGAGGAAGGACAUCACCCACAGAAGAAGCACCGGCUAACUCCGUGCCAGCAGCCGCGGUAAUACGGAGGGUGCUAGCGUUAAUCGGAAUUACUGGGCGUAAAGCGCGCGUAGGCGGUCUGAUAAGCCGGUUGUGAAAGCCCCGGGCUCAACCUGGGAACGGCAUCCGGAACUGUCAGGCUAGAGUGCAGGAGAGGAAGGUAGAAUUCCCGGUGUAGCGGUGAAAUGCGUAGAGAUCGGGAGGAAUACCAGUGGCGAAGGCGGCCUUCUGGACUGACACUGACGCUGAGGUGCGAAAGCGUGGGUAGCAAACAGGAUUAGAUACCCCAGUAGUC